RNAcentral lists this ribosomal RNA (301 nucleotides) under uncultured bacterium. Its description in RNAcentral is "partial 16S ribosomal RNA". It matches the Rfam family "Bacterial small subunit ribosomal RNA", at positions 509 to 808 of the family's 1533-position model. The record is from RNAcentral.
CAGCAGCCGCGGUAAUACAGAGGGUGCAAGCGUUAAUCGGAAUUACUGGGCGUAAAGCGUGCGCAGGCGGUUAUAUAAGACAGAUGUGAAAUCCCCGGGCUCAACCUGGGACCUGCAUUUGUGACUGUAUAGCUAGAGUACGGUAGAGGGGGAUGGAAUUCCGCGUGUAGCAGUGAAAUGCGUAGAUAUGCGGAGGAACACCGAUGGCGAAGGCAAUCCCCUGGACCUGUACUGACGCUCAUGCACGAAAGCGUGGGGAGCAAACAGGAUUAGAUACCGCGUAGUCCCUGUCUCUUAUACC